GGGGUUGUAGCUCAGUGGUAGAGUGCUUGCCUGGCACACGUGAGGCACCGGUUCAAUCCUCAGCACCA
This 68-nucleotide transfer RNA is filed under the name Ictidomys tridecemlineatus (thirteen-lined ground squirrel). RNAcentral describes it as "Spermophilus tridecemlineatus (thirteen-lined ground squirrel) tRNA". It matches the Rfam family "tRNA". Rfam says of the family: Transfer RNA (tRNA) molecules are approximately 80 nucleotides in length. Their secondary structure includes four short double-helical elements and three loops (D, anti-codon, and T loops). Lineage: Eukaryota; Metazoa; Chordata; Mammalia; Rodentia; Sciuridae. The record is from Rfam by way of RNAcentral.